Molecule: small nucleolar RNA, 126 nt
Organism: Grammomys surdaster
Lineage: Eukaryota; Metazoa; Chordata; Mammalia; Rodentia; Muridae
Product: small nucleolar RNA SNORA40
Exons: 1
Source: RefSeq, a predicted model, not a curated record
AGCACAUGUGUGUGGGUUUGUUGAACGGUAAACAAAGACAUGAAGCACGUUUGAAAAUAAACCCUCUUUUGCAAUCCAGAACUCAACAGUUCAGUAUGAGUUUUGUCACAUAUAAGAAAGAGUAUG